Molecule: long non-coding RNA, 531 nt
Filed under: Carica papaya (papaya)
Lineage: Eukaryota; Viridiplantae; Streptophyta; Magnoliopsida; Brassicales; Caricaceae
Description: long non-coding RNA (CPAP_LNC013946)
Source: RNAcentral
AGCGCCCUUAACUUGGGGAGUUCUGAUAGAAUCCGUUGCAUUGGUGCUGGUAUGAUUGCUCAUGUUUAGUUCUGCGCUGCAAAUACAUACACUUUUUCUCCCUCCAUCCCCCCUCCCGUCAUUUGUUUCCUUGUGCGUGCACUCUGCAUCUCUCCUUCUCGUUCUAAUAUCGAUUAAAAUGCCCCUGCUUCUUGACUCACAUUUGCGUAUAAACCAGUGGACCCUAAUUCCAGUCGCGCUAACGUCGAACGACCCGUCUGAAAAAAAAAAUAAGUGCGACUUGAGGACUUCCUAGGAGGUCACCCAUCCGAGUACUACUCUCGCCCAAGCACACUUAACUGCGAAGUUCUGAUGGGAUCCGGUGCAUUAGUGCUGGUAUGAUCGCACCUGUUUAAUGUUGGGCUGCAAAUACAUAAAUUCCUUGCCCUUUCUUCCCCCUCCCGUCAUUUGUUUCCUUGUAGGUGCGCACUGCACCUCUCGUUCUCGUUCAAAUAUCAAGUAAAAUGCCACGGCGCCGUGAUUCACAUUUGC